Acanthochromis polyacanthus (spiny chromis) is the source of this 1603-nucleotide long non-coding RNA. RefSeq lists it as uncharacterized. Lineage: Eukaryota; Metazoa; Chordata; Actinopteri; Pomacentridae. The record is from RefSeq and is a predicted model, not a curated record. The transcript is spliced from 2 exons.
CAGCACUGAUGUACAACAUCCAAGUAACAGAAACCCUCAUAUACUACAAAUGAAUGUAAACAAUAUCAAGAAAGGCCAGGGGGUCACUCUGGAUCCACUGAGCACACAUGAAGAUGCAAAAACAGCUGCCAGACGCUUCAGAAAAUGGUUUGCGAUCUCCACUAAGAGCAAGAUGAAGAGACAAAAUGACAACAAUGGUCUCUCCGUUCAGGAAUCUUGUCACAGCACCAAACAGGAAGGACUGUUAUGUGGCAAAAGGUUCUGAAUCAAAAAGGCCAAAAAGAGUGAAGGCCACAAAAAGCUGGAAACCACAAGCGGAUUAGAAAAACCUCAUGUCAGCAUCUACAUAUGAACCGUUUCAAGACCCAGGUGAUAAAUCCAAACAUGAGAUAAGAAGAGGACUUCUACCCACUGCAAAGUCUCUAGGUAAACAUUUUCCCUCUCCUGUGUGUUUAAUGCAGCCGGUUUGACAACAACACGAGGAGAUGGGACAGACAAACAGUCGACAACGAGCUGCCACAAACACACGUGUGCUGGUUCACAUUUGUAUGCAGGAAAUCUGCAGCAAAACUGGACUAUAAUAAGAGGAGAAAAAGAAGAAAUGCAUGUCUUGUUUCAGACAGCAGUUUCUAAAUGAUCUUGUUUCAAAACAAGAACAAAAACUCCAGGAGACAGGUGUGUGUGUGUGUGUGUGUGUGUGUGUGUGUGUGUGUGUGUGUGUGUGUGUGUGUGUACGUGUCUGAGUGUAUAAAGGAAGCAAAAAUAAUUAAUUACUGUAUGAAAGCAGUGACUUUACAUUGUUUGAAGAGCGUCUAAACUUAGACUGAACUACCAGUAAACUGUAGGCACCACAUUAACAAUUUCUUCCCGUUUAUUCUGUUUGUAUCCUGCUUAUUGUUCUGUGUCACGAUCAGCUUCAUGAUUCUAGUUUGCAUUGAACACAGUUCCAAGUACCUCCAAGUGUGCAAAUCUAUGACAAAGCUACACAUAAAGAAUAUCACUUUUUAUACAUUCCUUACCCAGCAUUCAACAAUCAAACACCAAAAAAUUUCUUAAACACUUUAUUUAAACAAUAAAUUAUGAAAAUACACCUGAUUGCAGACAUUUAGAAAAUCUUCUUUCAUCAUUGAAGGUCUUCUAGUGACUCUUCAACAAACAACCUUUCUAUACGAAAAAAAAGAAGAAGAAUUAAAUCACCAAUUUGUCAGGUAUAAUAUUAUCUCCACUGUGGUUAAUCAGUAACAUUUGCAAAAGUUUAUGUAAAGUAAGAUUUCUGUGUGCUGUUUGCUUUUAUUGCUGAGUUGGAUUUCAGUUGUCUCGUUACAUUCACCAACACUUAAGAGAAUUAGCAAUAAUCAGUCUGACAUGAUGCCUGUCUUUUCUGUUAUUAGACCUUGUGUGGAUGUUGUUCUUAUACUAGAAGUUCAUACAGUCUGAAAUUGUUGUCUCAGCCACUGAAGGACACACUGAACUGAAGAAAACCCAUGAAUGACUCCAUCUGCAUAAAAAAAUGUCUCUUGUUACCUAAUUUAGAUCAAUAUGACGGUAGAUUUGUUAUUUCUUAUGUUUUUUUCUACCAUAAAGCUACACAAAUGUUUGAGUA